CAAAACAUAUGCUCUCCAUCGAGCUUCUAGUUUUCGGAGUUGAGACCGGGGAAAGUUGAGAAGGGAGCUGUGUUGGUCGGUUCUUUUUCCGCAAAAGAGGUAUCACUUUUUAAAAGUAUAAUCUCUUCAAACCUUUUUAACUUUUGGAGUUUGAGACGGGACAUUCAAGCUGAAAUGGGAAUUAGCAUUCGAUUGGUCCUGAUAUUCAGAGUUUGUUUCGUACGUCCAUUCAAAUCAGUUUCCGGCCCGGUGAGUGGAGUUGCUUUGCCUUGGAUGACAGGCGCGAGAAAAGUUGGAACGGUGUAAACUCUUUACAUGCAGCGUCGCUCCUCAAAAACAUAUGCUCUCCAUCGAGCUUCUAGUUUUCGGAGUUGAGACUGGGGAAAGUUGAGAAGGGAGCUGUGUUGGUCUGUGUUUUUUCCGCAAAAGAGGUACGAAGAUCAGUUCUCCACUGUAUAUUGUUAUGCAAGUUAAAUGCUUUAUGUAACCCUUUAAGUUGUGUCAUUCUAAGGGAUGUUCAGUCAACAAACCAACAAAGUUUUGUCAUUCUUUCACUUAGCCAUCAAAUAAUAUUUUUGUAGAAAACAACUUGACAAUACCAUGUGUAUAUAUUUAGUGGUAAUUGUGAAAAUGAGCCUAACUUUUUUAUUUUUUGUUAUAUUAAUGUGAAUAUAGUAAGAAUAUAUUUUUAAAAAAAAUAGCGUGUCAAGUUGAUGAAACAAUAUACAUUAUAGAGUCUUUCUUUAGUACUAGGUUAAGAAUAAAAUUAUUCUGGGUAGCUUUUUCUCUAUACCAUCUAUGAGAGUGACAUUAUCGUCAUAUUGUAAGUUGCCGGUUGUUAUAUAUUUUCUUACAAUAUUUUAAGUGAUGAUAGAAACGUGUUCUACUAAAAUAGACAAGCAAGGUUGAGACUAUGUUUUGGUGGGGUGAGCCUGGCCCGAGCAGUAGUGCAGCACUUGGGCGACUCUCGAAGACCCCAAUAGCAAGCUAUUGUGGCGGGCCUUCCCCCUUAAAAAAUUAAAUUAAUAUCGUGUGGACCAUUGGCCCACAUAUCAGAUAUUAAACUGAUAAGAACAGAUACUACACUUGAUCUUAGCCAAAAGGCCGAGAAAGGUAUGCUUAGAAUGUUUGGCAGGUUUUGUUUAUAAGCCGAGCCCCACAACUCUCAACACAAAAUAACUCGUGGUGGUAUGUAACACCAAGUAGAAAUCAGCUGAGUAGUGCUAUAGGUCAGGGGAACUAAGUACGAGUAUAUAUAAUUUCGAGUACCAAUGUCAUGAAAUACCCACAUCUUAAUGCUAUUUUACAGAGUCAUUUCAGUUUACGAUUAUUUUGGUUUUGUUUUGAACCGACCAAAUGCUCACUCCAACUCAUGGAAAAGGAUUCUGGCUGAAGGAAAGUCGUAUGUAUUAGCAUCUAUCUGGCACAGAGGGCUUGCUGUUUGUUAAAUUAUAAGUUUCAGCUGUCUGAUAUUCAAUCGGACUCUUUGGACUAGUUAGCCGUAACUGGUACAAGACUAAAUCUUAUCUGUGUGUGUUUGUAUGCAUCGUAUUAUUGUAUCUUGUUGCUAUGUCAUGUAAUGCACAAGUAUGUAAGAAGCAUUAACUGUCUAUGUUUAGACUUGUCUUGAGUUUACUUUCUUAUCUGAGGUAUGAAUUAAUGUUUUGCUGCAUGUAUUUGUGGUUACUAAUCCAAGGACUGGUCUUUGCUAGGUUUUUUUUCUUCAAGUUGCUGCCCCCUCCAGUUCACCGUAGUAGACAUGCCAGUCAAAUAUUCUGAAACAUCUCUAUUUGUAUUUGGAUAAAAAUUUAAACCCUAAUGAGUUGAAAUUGCGUGUUUUAUAACGGAUUUGAAACCUGUCUUCCGAGUUUAGGACUUUGUUAGAAAGUGUUUUAUGUUGGACCAUUUUGGAUCUGAAUUGUUUUGAUCUGUUACA
Long non-coding RNA from Daucus carota subsp. sativus, 1936 nucleotides. RefSeq lists it as uncharacterized. Lineage: Eukaryota; Viridiplantae; Streptophyta; Magnoliopsida; Apiales; Apiaceae. The record is from RefSeq and is a predicted model, not a curated record. The transcript is spliced from 3 exons.